UAAUCAUUUGUCUAUUAAUUGUAGACCUGUAUGAAAGGCGCAAUGAGGGCCUAACUGUCUCUUAUAAUCAAUCAAUUAAACUGAUCUUUUAGUACAAAAGCUAAAAUACCGACAUAAGACCAGAAGACCCUGUGAAGCUUUAACAAACCCAUUAAACCCUUUAAUGACUACUUUCGGUUGGGGCGACCUUGGAAAAAAAAGAAACUUCCAAACAUGACUAAAACUCAAACAGGCCUACAAGCCAUCAACGACCCAGCACAGCUGAUCAACGAACCAAGUUACUCCAGGGAUAACAGCGCUAUCUUCUUCAAGAGCCCAUAUCAAAAAGAAGGUUUACGACCUCGAUGUUGGAUCAGGACAUCCUAGUGGUGUAGCAGCUACUAAGGGUU
Molecule: ribosomal RNA, 389 nt
Filed under: Erpeton tentaculatum (tentacle snake)
Lineage: Eukaryota; Metazoa; Chordata; Lepidosauria; Squamata; Homalopsidae
Description: partial 16S ribosomal RNA
Rfam family: Bacterial large subunit ribosomal RNA
Source: RNAcentral